GAAACCAACAGGGAUUGCCUCAGUAGCGGCGAGUGAAGCGGCAAGAGCUCAGAUUUGAAAUCGUGCUUUGCGGCACGAGUUGUAGAUUGCAGGUUGGAGUCUGUGUGGAAGGCGGUGUCCAAGUCCCUUGGAACAGGGCGCCCAGGAGGGUGAGAGCCCCGUGGGAUGCCGGCGGAAGCAGUGAGGCCCUUCUGACGAGUCGAGUUGUUUGGGAAUGCAGCUCCAAGCGGGUGGUAAAUUCCAUCUAAGGCUAAAUACUGGCGAGAGACCGAUAGCGAACAAGUACUGUGAAGGAAAGAUGAAAAGCACUUUGAAAAGAGAGUGAAACAGCACGUGAAAUUGUUGAAAGGGAAGGGUAUUGCGCCCGACAUGGGGAUUGCGCACCGCUGCCUCUCGUGGGCGGCGCUCUGGGCUUUCCCUGGGCCAGCAUCGGUUCUUGCUGCAGGAGAAGGGGUUCUGGAACGUGGCUCUUCGGAGUGUUAUAGCCAGGGCC
Molecule: ribosomal RNA, 493 nt
Filed under: Pichia kudriavzevii
Lineage: Eukaryota; Fungi; Ascomycota; Pichiomycetes; Pichiales; Pichiaceae
Description: LSU rRNA
Rfam family: Eukaryotic large subunit ribosomal RNA
Source: RNAcentral